Molecule: unclassified non-coding RNA, 223 nt
Filed under: Hevea brasiliensis (rubber tree)
Lineage: Eukaryota; Viridiplantae; Streptophyta; Magnoliopsida; Malpighiales; Euphorbiaceae
Source: RNAcentral
AAGGUGUAAUUAUCAGUAGUCUUCACAUCAACAUGGGCUUCAAUCAGUGUCUGCCAUUUCCGCACAAGUGACCUCAGCUUGUCUGUAGUGAAGUCCAUUCCCCAGAAGUUUGUCAGAACAUUCCUCCCUUGCACAUCCUCUGCUCUAAGGCGGAUCUUUCUGUAGGCAUGAUCCUCAUCCUUUUGAAGGUCAGCCAAAGAUACUUCAAAAACUCGAUGUUUCA